UACAGAGGUGCCAAGCGUUAGGCGGAAUCACUGGGCUUAAAGCGCGUGUAGGUGGGUCGUUAGGUGUCCGCGUGAAAUCCCACGGCUCAACCGUGGAACUGCCGGGCAUACUGGCGAUCUUGAGGCAUUCAGGGGCGAGCGGAACAAAUGGUGGAGCGGUGAAAUGCGUAGAUAUCAUUUGGAACGCCAAUGGUGAAAACAGCUCGCUGGGAAUGAUCUGACACUGAGACGCGAAAGCCAGGGGAGCGAACGGG
This 254-nucleotide ribosomal RNA is filed under the name uncultured bacterium. RNAcentral describes it as "partial 16S ribosomal RNA". It matches the Rfam family "Bacterial small subunit ribosomal RNA", at positions 524 to 776 of the family's 1533-position model. The record is from RNAcentral.